AGCAGUAGCCGCGGUAAUACGAAGGGUGCAAGCGUUAAUCGGAAUUACUGGGCGUAAAGCGUGCGUAGGCGGUUUGUUAAGUCUGUUGUGAAAUCCCCGGGCUCAACCUGGGAAUGGCAAUGGAUACUGGCAAGCUAGAGUGUGUCAGAGGAUGGUGGAAUUCCCGGUGUAGCGGUGAAAUGCGUAGAGAUCGGGAGGAACAUCAGUGGCGAAGGCGGCCAUCUGGGACAACACUGACGCUGAGGCACGAAAGCGUGGGGAGCAAACAGGAUUAGAUACCCCAGUAGUCCCUGUCUCUUAUAC
RNAcentral lists this ribosomal RNA (303 nucleotides) under uncultured bacterium. Its description in RNAcentral is "partial 16S ribosomal RNA". It matches the Rfam family "Bacterial small subunit ribosomal RNA", at positions 507 to 807 of the family's 1533-position model. The record is from RNAcentral.